UGCCUAACUGAGUCUCGAUUUCUGCGAUCUGUGUUUUUUAUCUGGUUGAGGAAAAGGAAAAUUUUGGUUUCUUUUUUUGUUGAAUCGAAGAGACAGAGAGAGGAUAUGGUGGGAUGAGGUUGAACAGGGAGGGAAGGUGGAGAUGGCGAGGGGAGUCAAAUGGUUAUGCUCGUACAAGAGAACCACUCUUAUAGUUUGCUCCAUCAACAUUGUUGUUGCUCUUUAUGUUCUUCGCUCUCUAUAUGGCUCACUCUAUAUUUACUCCAAUCGUGAUUUAAAUAACGUUGUAAAGUACACACCGGAUCAGAUUAGUAGGAUGGAGGAAUCAAUUCGGAUACGAAAAGCCAAUGAACCUCUACAGCUUGUUAAAUUGGUGAAGCAAGUUAAGGAGGAGCUGAAGAGAGAUGAAAAGGGGGUUGAAUUGCCAAUGGAGGUCAGGCGGAAGAUAACUGAUGAGGUUUUGCAGCGGUUGAGAAGCUUGAACACGAAUGCCAAUAUCACGGAGCAGCGAGAAGCUAUUGAAAGCUGGCGCAAAGAAAAACUGCAUGAAUUCAAAGAGUUAAGCCAUGGAACAGGGGGAUUGAAUUCAACUAUUCUGCAAGAAGAAACCAGGAUGCUAAUAAAAGCCUUGGACUCUGAUUGGGCUGUGCUUUCGGAAAAUAUUGGCCUUUGGAUACCUGCUGAAAUCAUUAACCAGGUGCAUGAUGAUAAGCCUGAGGGUGAAGAAGAGUCUGAGGAAGAAAUUUUGCCUGGCAGGCCAGUUCCACCUGAAUGCCAUGCUGAACUUCAUACUGAUUAUGAUGGUGCAGCUGUCAGAUGGGGCCUUACCCACCAUAAAGAAAGUGCAGCGGACUGCUGUCAAGCUUGCUUAGAUCAGGCAAAACUUGCUAAGCCAGGUGAAAAGAAAUGUAACAUAUGGGUCUAUUGCCCGUCUGAAACAGGAUGUCACUCACCAGAUAUCUAUCAACAUAAGAAUGAAGAGUGCUGGCUGAAAUAUGCUGAAAAGCC
Molecule: unclassified non-coding RNA, 1008 nt
Filed under: Hevea brasiliensis (rubber tree)
Lineage: Eukaryota; Viridiplantae; Streptophyta; Magnoliopsida; Malpighiales; Euphorbiaceae
Source: RNAcentral